This is a non-coding RNA of Pelobates cultripes (western spadefoot toad), 145 nucleotides long. The record is from the annotation of a GenBank genome assembly. Lineage: Eukaryota; Metazoa; Chordata; Amphibia; Anura; Pelobatidae.
GCUGACACAUCCCGGCCAAUCUCCAGCAUACCCUCCCUCCCAGAGCCUCCCACCUCCUGGACAGCAUCCAUGUUGAAGCUGCCUGUCCAGGAGGUGGGAGGGUCUGGGAGGGAGGGUAUGCUGGAGAUUGGCCGGGAUGUGUCAG